UCCCCAAGUCCCCAAUGUAGCCCUCUUGUGAGCUCGCGGUAUUUUCCUUAAAUGAUCGAGCUCCGCUUGGCACAGCUGACUCGGAGCCUGAGAGGAUUAUGAAAACGUGUGGGGUAAGGUGGGGCUGGGGACCGGGGU
This is a non-coding RNA of Nyctereutes procyonoides (raccoon dog), 138 nucleotides long. RefSeq annotates it as small Cajal body-specific RNA 17. The transcript has a single exon. NCBI's taxonomy places the organism in Eukaryota, Metazoa, Chordata, Mammalia, Carnivora, Canidae. The record is from RefSeq and is a predicted model, not a curated record.